AACGAACGCUGGCGGUAUGCUUAACACAUUGCAAGUCGAACGCAGUAGUAAUACUGAGUGGGCGGACGGGUUGAGUAACACGUGGGAACUUGCCAAAUGGUGGGGGGAUAACUGUGGGAAACUGCAGCUAAUACCGGCAUAAGCCCUGAGGUGGAAAGAUUUAUUGCCAUUUGAUAGGCCCGCGCCGGGAUUAGGUAGUU
Molecule: ribosomal RNA, 200 nt
Filed under: uncultured bacterium
Lineage: Bacteria
Description: partial 16S ribosomal RNA
Rfam family: Bacterial small subunit ribosomal RNA
Source: RNAcentral